Molecule: transfer RNA, 76 nt
Filed under: Sorangium cellulosum
Lineage: Bacteria; Pseudomonadati; Myxococcota; Polyangiales; Polyangiaceae
Also listed under: 2 other names
Description: tRNA-Ala
Rfam family: tRNA
About the family: Transfer RNA (tRNA) molecules are approximately 80 nucleotides in length. Their secondary structure includes four short double-helical elements and three loops (D, anti-codon, and T loops).
Source: RNAcentral
GGGCCUGUAGCUCAGUUGGGAGAGCGCUAGAAUCGCACUCUAGAGGUCGCAGGUUCGAUCCCUGUCAGGUCCACCC